RNAcentral lists this ribosomal RNA (2904 nucleotides) under Enterobacter roggenkampii. Its description in RNAcentral is "23S ribosomal RNA". It matches the Rfam family "Bacterial large subunit ribosomal RNA". The record is from RNAcentral. Lineage: Bacteria; Pseudomonadati; Pseudomonadota; Gammaproteobacteria; Enterobacterales; Enterobacteriaceae.
GGUUAAGCGACUAAGCGUACACGGUGGAUGCCCUGGCAGUCAGAGGCGAUGAAGGACGUGCUAAUCUGCGAAAAGCGCCGGCGAGGUGAUAUGAACCUUUGACCCGGCGAUGUCCGAAUGGGGAAACCCAGUGCAAUUCGUUGCACUAUCGUUAACUGAAUACAUAGGUUAACGAGGCGAACCGGGGGAACUGAAACAUCUAAGUACCCCGAGGAAAAGAAAUCAACCGAGAUUCCCCCAGUAGCGGCGAGCGAACGGGGAGCAGCCCAGAGUCUGAAUCAGCUUGUGUGUUAGUGGAAGCGUCUGGAAAGUCGCACGGUACAGGGUGACAGUCCCGUACACGAAAAUGCACAGGUUGUGAACUCGAAGAGUAGGGCGGGACACGUGGUAUCCUGUCUGAAUAUGGGGGGACCAUCCUCCAAGGCUAAAUACUCCUGACUGACCGAUAGUGAACCAGUACCGUGAGGGAAAGGCGAAAAGAACCCCGGCGAGGGGAGUGAAAAAGAACCUGAAACCGUGUACGUACAAGCAGUGGGAGCACCUUCGUGGUGUGACUGCGUACCUUUUGUAUAAUGGGUCAGCGACUUAUAUUCUGUAGCAAGGUUAACCGUAUAGGGGAGCCGAAGGGAAACCGAGUCUUAACUGGGCGUUAAGUUGCAGGGUAUAGACCCGAAACCCGGUGAUCUAGCCAUGGGCAGGUUGAAGGUUGGGUAACACUAACUGGAGGACCGAACCGACUAAUGUUGAAAAAUUAGCGGAUGACUUGUGGCUGGGGGUGAAAGGCCAAUCAAACCGGGAGAUAGCUGGUUCUCCCCGAAAGCUAUUUAGGUAGCGCCUCGUGAACUCAUCUUCGGGGGUAGAGCACUGUUUCGGCUAGGGGGCCAUCCCGGCUUACCAACCCGAUGCAAACUACGAAUACCGAAGAAUGUUAUCACGGGAGACACACGGCGGGUGCUAACGUCCGUCGUGAAGAGGGAAACAACCCAGACCGCCAGCUAAGGUCCCAAAGUCAUGGUUAAGUGGGAAACGAUGUGGGAAGGCACAGACAGCCAGGAUGUUGGCUUAGAAGCAGCCAUCAUUUAAAGAAAGCGUAAUAGCUCACUGGUCGAGUCGGCCUGCGCGGAAGAUGUAACGGGGCUAAACCAUGCACCGAAGCUGCGGCAGCGACACUAUGUGUUGUUGGGUAGGGGAGCGUUCUGUAAGCCGUUGAAGGUGUGCUGUGAGGCAUGCUGGAGGUAUCAGAAGUGCGAAUGCUGACAUAAGUAACGAUAAAGCGGGUGAAAAGCCCGCUCGCCGGAAGACCAAGGGUUCCUGUCCAACGUUAAUCGGGGCAGGGUGAGUCGACCCCUAAGGCGAGGCCGAAAGGCGUAGUCGAUGGGAAACAGGUUAAUAUUCCUGUACUUGGUGUUACUGCGAAGGGGGGACGGAGAAGGCUAUGUUAGCCGGGCGACGGUUGUCCCGGUUUAAGCAUGUAGGCGGAGGUUCCAGGUAAAUCCGGUACCUUUUAACGCUGAGGUGUGAUGACGAGGCACUACGGUGCUGAAGUAACAAAUGCCCUGCUUCCAGGAAAAGCCUCUAAGCAUCAGGUAACAUCAAAUCGUACCCCAAACCGACACAGGUGGUCAGGUAGAGAAUACCAAGGCGCUUGAGAGAACUCGGGUGAAGGAACUAGGCAAAAUGGUGCCGUAACUUCGGGAGAAGGCACGCUGAUAUGUAGGUGAAGCCCCUGCGGGUGGAGCUGAAAUCAGUCGAAGAUACCAGCUGGCUGCAACUGUUUAUUAAAAACACAGCACUGUGCAAACACGAAAGUGGACGUAUACGGUGUGACGCCUGCCCGGUGCCGGAAGGUUAAUUGAUGGGGUUAGCGGCAACGCGAAGCUCUUGAUCGAAGCCCCGGUAAACGGCGGCCGUAACUAUAACGGUCCUAAGGUAGCGAAAUUCCUUGUCGGGUAAGUUCCGACCUGCACGAAUGGCGUAAUGAUGGCCAGGCUGUCUCCACCCGAGACUCAGUGAAAUUGAACUCGCUGUGAAGAUGCAGUGUACCCGCGGCAAGACGGAAAGACCCCGUGAACCUUUACUAUAGCUUGACACUGAACACUGGUCCUUGAUGUGUAGGAUAGGUGGGAGGCUUUGAAGUGUGGACGCCAGUCUGCAUGGAGCCGUCCUUGAAAUACCACCCUUUAAUGGCUGGUGUUCUAACGUAGACCCGUAAUCCGGGUUGCGGACAGUGUCUGGUGGGUAGUUUGACUGGGGCGGUCUCCUCCCAAAGAGUAACGGAGGAGCACGAAGGUUAGCUAAUCCUGGUCGGACAUCAGGAGGUUAGUGCAAUGGCAUAAGCUAGCUUGACUGCGAGAGUGACGGCUCGAGCAGGUGCGAAAGCAGGUCAUAGUGAUCCGGUGGUUCUGAAUGGAAGGGCCAUCGCUCAACGGAUAAAAGGUACUCCGGGGAUAACAGGCUGAUACCGCCCAAGAGUUCAUAUCGACGGCGGUGUUUGGCACCUCGAUGUCGGCUCAUCACAUCCUGGGGCUGAAGUAGGUCCCAAGGGUAUGGCUGUUCGCCAUUUAAAGUGGUACGCGAGCUGGGUUUAGAACGUCGUGAGACAGUUCGGUCCCUAUCUGCCGUGGGCGCUGGAGAAUUGAGGGGGGCUGCUCCUAGUACGAGAGGACCGGAGUGGACGCAUCACUGGUGUUCGGGUUGUCAUGCCAAUGGCACUGCCCGGUAGCUAAAUGCGGAAAAGAUAAGUGCUGAAAGCAUCUAAGCACGAAACUUGCCCCGAGAUGAGUUCUCCCUGAGACUUUAAGUCUCCUGAAGGAACGUUGAAGACGACGACGUUGAUAGGUCGGGUGUGUAAGCGCAGCGAUGCGUUGAGCUAACCGAUACUAAUGAACCGUGAGGCUUAACCUU